UGCAGUCGAGCGAACUGAUUAGAAGCUUGCUUCUAUGACGUUAGCGGCGGACGGGUGAGUAACACGUGGGCAACCUGCCUGUAAGACUGGGAUAACUUCGGGAAACCGAAGCUAAUACCGGAUAGGAUCUUCUCCUUCAUGGGAGAUGAUUGAAAGAUGGUUUCGGCUAUCACUUACAGAUGGGCCCGCGGUGCAUUAGCUAGUUGGUGAGGUAACGGCUCACCAAGGCAACGAUGCAUAGCCGACCUGAGAGGGUGAUCGGCCACACUGGGACUGAGACACGGCCCAGACUCCUACGGGAGGCAGCAGUAGGGAAUCUUCCGCAAUGGACGAAAGUCUGACGGAGCAACGCCGCGUGAGUGAUGAAGGCUUUCGGGUCGUAAAACUCUGUUGUUAGGGAAGAACAAGUACAAGAGUAACUGCUUGUACCUUGACGGUACCUAACCAGAAAGCCACGGCUAACUACGUGCCAGCAGCCGCGGUAAUACGUAGGUGGCAAGCGUUAUCCGGAAUUAUUGGGCGUAAAGCGCGCGCAGGCGGUUUCUUAAGUCUGAUGUGAAAGCCCACGGCUCAACCGUGGAGGGUCAUUGGAAACUGGGGAACUUGAGUGCAGAAGAGAAAAGCGGAAUUCCACGUGUAGCGGUGAAAUGCGUAGAGAUGUGGAGGAACACCAGUGGCGAAGGCGGCUUUUUGGUCUGUAACUGACGCUGAGGCGCGAAAGCGUGGGGAGCAGACAGGAUUAGAUACCCUGGUAGUCCACGCCGUAAACGAUGAGUGCUAAGUGUUAGAGGGUUUCCGCCCUUUAGUGCUGCAGCUAACGCAUUAAGCACUCCGCCUGGGGGGUACGGUC
RNAcentral lists this ribosomal RNA (850 nucleotides) under uncultured bacterium. RNAcentral's name for it is "bacterial SSU rRNA". It matches the Rfam family "Bacterial small subunit ribosomal RNA", at positions 56 to 887 of the family's 1533-position model. The record is from RNAcentral.